AAGGGAACUAGUAGGAAG
RNAcentral lists this unclassified non-coding RNA (18 nucleotides) under Aquifex aeolicus. Its description in RNAcentral is "putative small non-coding RNA". The record is from RNAcentral. Lineage: Bacteria; Pseudomonadati; Aquificota; Aquificia; Aquificales; Aquificaceae.